GCUGGGCAUGGUGGAGCAUGCCUGUAGUCCCAGCUACUUAGGAGGCUGAGGCAGUAGGAUCACUUGAGCCCAGGAGUUCAAGGCUAUAGUACAUUAUGAUUGUGUCUGUGAAUAGCCACUGUACUCCAGCCUGGGUAACAUAGUGAGACCCUCUCUGUU
Molecule: unclassified non-coding RNA, 159 nt
Organism: Pongo abelii (Sumatran orangutan)
Lineage: Eukaryota; Metazoa; Chordata; Mammalia; Primates; Hominidae
Rfam family: Metazoan signal recognition particle RNA
About the family: The signal recognition particle (SRP) is a universally conserved ribonucleoprotein. It is involved in the co-translational targeting of proteins to membranes.
Source: Ensembl